CAAACGGUUCUUUUAAGGGCCACCAAUGAUUUGCUAAAGAGUUGUUU
Non-coding RNA from Aedes aegypti (yellow fever mosquito), 47 nucleotides. The record is from Rfam. NCBI's taxonomy places the organism in Eukaryota, Metazoa, Arthropoda, Insecta, Diptera, Culicidae.